This 253-nucleotide ribosomal RNA is filed under the name uncultured bacterium. Its description in RNAcentral is "partial 16S ribosomal RNA". It matches the Rfam family "Bacterial small subunit ribosomal RNA", at positions 524 to 776 of the family's 1533-position model. The record is from RNAcentral.
UACGUAGGGUGCAAGCGUUAAUCGGAAUUACUGGGCGUAAAGCGUGCGCAGGCGGUUUUGUAAGUCUGACGUGAAAUCCCCGGGCUCAACCUGGGAAUUGCGUUGGAGACUGCAAGGCUGGAGUCUGGCAGAGGGGGGUAGAAUUCCACGUGUAGCAGUGAAAUGCGUAGAGAUGUGGAGGAACACCGAUGGCGAAGGCAGCCCCCUGGGCUGAGAUUGACGCUCAGGCACGAAAGCGUGGGGAGCAAACAGG